RNAcentral lists this unclassified non-coding RNA (229 nucleotides) under Hevea brasiliensis (rubber tree). Lineage: Eukaryota; Viridiplantae; Streptophyta; Magnoliopsida; Malpighiales; Euphorbiaceae. The record is from RNAcentral.
GGAGACGGAGACGAUGUGUUGGACAACACAAAUAUGGUACCUAUUCAUGCCAGUACAAUAUCCUACCAAAAGAGACAAGCACUAGUAACAUACUUUGAGCAUAACAAAGCUGGAAUCACCGUGUAUGGUUUCAUGUUAGAUCGGACAUGGCUUCAUACAAUUUUCGCGAUUCAGCUGUCUCUUACACUCUGGAUACUCAAUAAAACAAUUGGUAUUUCGUAAAUCCCAG